UACGAAGGGGGCUAGCGUUGUUCGGAAUUACUGGGCGUAAAGCGCACGUAGGCGGACAUUUAAGUCAGGGGUGAAAUCCCGGGGCUCAACCCCGGAACUGCCUUUGAUACUGGGUGUCUAGAGUCCAGAAGAAGUGAGUGGAAUUCCGAGUGUAGAGGUGAAAUUCGUAGAUAUUCGGAGGAACACCAGUGGCGAAGGCGGCUCACUGGUCUGGUACUGACGCUGAGGUGCGAAAGCGUGGGGAGCAAACAGG
RNAcentral lists this unclassified non-coding RNA (253 nucleotides) under uncultured Alphaproteobacteria bacterium. RNAcentral's name for it is "contains 16S-23S intergenic spacer region". It matches the Rfam family "Bacterial small subunit ribosomal RNA", at positions 524 to 776 of the family's 1533-position model. Lineage: Bacteria; Pseudomonadati; Pseudomonadota; Alphaproteobacteria. The record is from RNAcentral.